Long non-coding RNA from Oncorhynchus nerka (sockeye salmon), 1393 nucleotides. RefSeq lists it as uncharacterized. The record is from RefSeq and is a predicted model, not a curated record. NCBI's taxonomy places the organism in Eukaryota, Metazoa, Chordata, Actinopteri, Salmoniformes, Salmonidae. The transcript is spliced from 2 exons.
CACCUAAAGGAGACCCCCAGGUCCCACAAACACCUGAAUUCCACCCGUUUCACCCAUACCAUUUUCCUCCAUAUCCCCCUCAACAACACUAUUUCCCAACAUCAGCCCCCACUACCUCACCUAAACACACACAAUCCCCUCAACCUGUCACCCAGGUCCUGCAUAUGCCACCUAAAGGAGACCCCCAGGUCCCACAAACACCUGAAUUCCACCCGUUUCACCCAUACCAUUUUCCUCCAUAUCCCCCUCAACAACACUAUUUCCCAACAUCAGCCCCCACUACCUCACCUAAACACACACAAUCCCCUCAACCUGUCACCCAGGUCCUGCAUAUGCCACCUAAAGGAGACCCCAGGUCCCACAAACACCUGAAUUCCACCCGUUUCACCCAUACCAUUUUCCUCCAUAUCCCCCUCAACAACACUAUUUCCCAACAUCAGCCCCCACUACCUCACCUAAACACACACAAUCCCCUCAACCUGUCACCCAGGUCCUGCAUAUGCCACCUAAAGGAGACCCCAGGUCCCACAAACCCCUGAAUUCCACCCGUUUCACCCGUACCAUUUUCCUCCGUAUCCCCCUCAGCCCUAUUUCCCAACAUCAGCCCCCACUACCUCACCUAAACACACACAAUCCCCUCAACCUGUUACCCAGGUCCUGCAUAUGCCACCUAAAGGACACCCCAGGUCCCACAAACCCCUGAAUUCCACCCGUUUCACCCGUACCAUUUUCCUCCGUAUCCCCCUCAGCCCUAUUUCCCAACAUCAGCCCCCACUACCUCACCUAAACACACAAAUUCCCCUCAACCUGCCACCCAAGCCCUGCAUAUGCCACCUAAAGGAUACCCCCAGGUCCCACAAAUGCCUGACUUAAAAAUGUUUUACCCGUACCAUUUUACUACACAUCUCCCUCAACCUUAUUUCCCAUCAGCCUCUACAACCACACCUAAACAAACAAACCAGGCCCUGCAUAUGCCACCUAAAGGAUACCCUCAGGUCCCACUGAGUUACCAGUUCCCCCAAUACAAUUUCCCAGGGUUUUUCCCUCAACGCUCUGUCCCAAGAGCACCCCCCAUAGCCAGCCAACUGGAUAACCAGAAUAACCCCCAGAAAUAUCAUUACUCAGAUUCCUCCUACCGUCAAAAGUCAGCCACUCCUUCAGUAACUGCUAGCACUAUCCCUGGCACCACACCCCAGGCCCAAUCCAAGCAGCCCUUCAUGCAAUAUGACCAGUACCCGAUGGUUCGCAGCUGGAAUCCGUAUGCUUCUGCUCUGUUCCCACCCCAUUAUGGAACGGUGCCGUAUCAUUAUCAAGGGCCUAGGGAGUAACUUAUGGUGGAAUCUACAGUUUCCAGCCAUUACUUGUGAAGUGUAAAAUAAAUUCACUAAAUGUA